This 29-nucleotide non-coding RNA is filed under the name Mus musculus (house mouse). Lineage: Eukaryota; Metazoa; Chordata; Mammalia; Rodentia; Muridae. The record is from RNAcentral.
UUGUGUUCUUGAGUAGAUAGCUAGUCAAU